CCUGGGGCAGGUGCGUAAAGGAUAUAGUAACAUGUUUGUUAUAUAGAUGAGACCGUUGGUUUUCCCGUUUGAAUGGGUUUACACUAGUAAUUUGGGGCCCUUUAUAGCUUAUUGUUUGGUGUGAGCCAAGGCUCCGUGUUGAAGGGCGUACAUUGACCUAUAAUGGUUUACUUUUAUAAAUUAUUAUUUGGAUGGAGAGCUGUCUCAUUGGCACUCACACCACAUUUUCCUAUAUCUAUUUGUAAAGUUUUUGUGCAAUGAGAAUAUUCUGAAUUAGAUACAGCCUCUAGCGCAACUUGUCCCAAUGCUCACUCUGAUAAAAAAAAACAAAAAAAAAAACAGACAAAAUUACACAUAAAACACAAACAAUUGUAUAAUCGAAAAAAAAAAAUUGACCCCCCCUUUUUGUUUACCUCCCCCCUUUGGAGAAAUUACCCUUAAGUAAAUCCCAGCCUACUCCUUUAAGGUAUGAUAUCUUGUAUUACAAUUUCAAUGCGAUCCAUACACUUUAACACAAGCUUUUGUCUGAAAACUGAAAUAUAAUUCUUGCAUGUAUUUGGUCAUUUUUUGGCCCCCGACUUCCUAAAUGUAUUACCCCCAAACUUAAUCCCUACCUUUCUUUUGUAGUAUUGAACCAUCUGGUAAAAUUU
RNAcentral lists this long non-coding RNA (650 nucleotides) under Mytilus galloprovincialis (Mediterranean mussel). The record is from RNAcentral. Lineage: Eukaryota; Metazoa; Mollusca; Bivalvia; Mytilida; Mytilidae.